Camellia sinensis is the source of this 2380-nucleotide non-coding RNA. Lineage: Eukaryota; Viridiplantae; Streptophyta; Magnoliopsida; Ericales; Theaceae. The record is from RefSeq and is a predicted model, not a curated record.
UCAACGUCAUUUGGCCAUUUUGGGACGUCAACACCUUGCAUUCAAAUUUCUUAAGGAACUAGUUUACCUAGACCGAAAUCCGAGUCUAACUCCCAAACCAGGAACCCGAUUCGAGCCCCGUAUUCUCCCACAAAUCUCCCAUGCCUAGGUGGUCGUGUGUGCCAAGUUUCGUGCCAAUCCGACCCCGUUUGGUGAUUUUGGGGCAUCAACACCUCGAAUUCAAGUUUCUUAAGGAACUAGUUUGUCUAGAGUGAAAUCCGGCUCUAACUCCCAAACCGGGAACCCGAUUUGAGUCCCGUCUUCUCCCAUAUGUCUCUCAUGCCUAGGCGGUCGUGUGUGCCAAGUUUCGUACCAAACCGAUGCCGUUUGGCGAUUUUGGAGUGUCAACACCUCGAAUUCAAAUUUCUUAAGGAACUAGUUUACCUAGACCGAAAUCCGGCUCUAACUCCCAAACCGGGUCUAACUCCCAAACCGGGAACCCGAUUCGAGCCCCGUCUUCUCCCAAAAGUCUCUCAUGCCUAGGUGGUCGUGUGUGCCAAGUUUCGUGCUAUUCCGACGCCGUUUGGGAAUUUUGGGGUAUCAACACCUCGAAUUCAAGUUUCUUAAGCAACUAGUUUGCCUAGACCGAAAUUCGGCUCUAACUCCCAAACCAGAAACCCGAUUCGAGUCCCGUCUUCUCCCAUAAGUCUCUCGUGCCUAGCCUCUAUCCUUUUGGGCUGUGUACAAUUAAUUUAAAAACUAUCUCAUAACAACUUAAAAUUUAAAAUUAACUAACUAAGAACAAAAUAGGACUAAUAAUGCUAAACUACCAAAUAUAUAAAGCCAAAUAAUAACAUAACAACUAACACUACAAAAAUAACAACCCAUCAAAGAUAGCAAGUUCAAUUAAAACAGUGAAGACAACCUAUCAAAGAUAACAACCCAUUAAAGAUAGCAAGUACAAUUGACACAAACAAUCAAAUGAAAUGUGGAAAACAACAAAGCUUACAUAACCAUUAAAUUGUUGAGCAACUGCCUGAACCUCAUCAACUGUAGACAUUAUCACAAAGACAUUUCCUCCCUCAUCAACAAUCAAUAUAUAUAUAUAUAUAUAUAUAUGUAUUUUUUUUUAAUUGAUUGAAGUAGUAAGGUGUAAAUUAAGGAAUUGAUCUAGUAAAUUAGACGCUCAACUUUUAUUACACAUGGCAGAGCCAUAUUAGUGAUGGCUGAUAAAUGUUAAAAACCAAGAUGUACCUUGGAAGGGAGGGUUGGUCCACCUACAAGGGUGAUGGCUGAUAAAUGUUAAAAAGCAACCCAACCAUAUUAGUGACAAUGUGACGUGUUCCCUCCAUGAUUUCCAUUCAAAGUUCCCCAAGUUCCAAUUUUCAAAGACCUAGAAUGCUUCCACAUACCAAAAAAAUAAAAACCACUUGGGAGAAUGUCCAUACAUUUAAUCAAAUAUGAAAAAUGAUGCAGGAACAAACUUUGUUUAAAAUAUAAGUCACAAUGAUAGGUUUUUUUGACAAAAAAUUACAAAUCAGUGUUUUCUUCCAAAAUAAUUACUUAUUCAUGAAAAACUUUAUGACUUUAAUUAUUAAAAUUUAUCACUAAUCUGAGUUUUUUUGUUUUUUUUUUUAAAUUUUUUUUACGAAUAUAAAUUGAACUGUUAUAGGGAAAACAUCAUUUCAGUUGAAUUUAGGAAAAAUCAUUUCACAUUAAUGAAAAACUUUGUUUGAGAUUGAUAUUUUUUUAACUUUACAACUAAAAUGUUAUUUCCCCUAUUGUUAUAUCAUAAGCCUUGGCUUGCUUAUGAGUUUUUUUUACCUUUUUCUCACAAGCCAUGGCUUUCUACCUGUUCUCUAAAUGUUAGCAGUUUUUUUGGGAAUGCAUAAAUGUAUUAAUCUUUCAAAAAAAAUUCAAAAUAAAAAAAAAUUAAAAAUAAAGAUAGGUGAGAGUUCAUUGGUGGAUCUUUCACCACACAAUAGCAAUAAGUGCAUACAUUAAGGGUAAGAGAAAUUACCUUUAUGUAGUAAUUUAUGCAUCAUUAUCUGCUACUCUCUCUCUCUCUCUCUCUCUCUCUCUCUCUCUCUCUCAAGAAUAUCUUCUACCCAUGACCAGCACUGCAAAUAUAUAAUUAUAUUUUUUUUACCGAAAUUACUGAUAUGAAAGAAAAUAUUUGUAGUAACUUACCAAAGAGUUACUAGUUCCAUCAAAGCUUCUAUGCUGAUCAGGAGAAUAAUCACAUGCAAGCUCAGUAGUCAUCCACACCAGCACACAUGAGUCUUUGGUACUCCACAAAAUGAAUAAUAUCGAAAUAAACAAAAAUAAAAUAAAAUAAAACAGACAUAAAGACAUGGCAUCAAACACUUACAGAAUCUAUAGAUAGAUUUCUGUAACUUAA